Molecule: long non-coding RNA, 1176 nt
Organism: Gymnodraco acuticeps
Lineage: Eukaryota; Metazoa; Chordata; Actinopteri; Perciformes; Bathydraconidae
Exons: 4
Source: RefSeq, a predicted model, not a curated record
UAAGUGGAGAAAGAUAUAAGAAGGUAAGUUUUGUUUUUUUAUACAUAGAGCGUCAUAUUUAUAUAGCUAGCAUUAGCGUGCCUAACUACUACACCAGCUGAGGGAGGAGAGCUUCACGUGAAGAGAAGAGAAAGUGAGGGAAGAACAUUGUAAAGAGAUGACAAAUCAAGUGCAGGCAAAUAACACGGGCCAUAGCUGCCAUGUUUUGUCCUUUCUGUGGCCAACAUCUGGGGACAGUUCAAGUGCUCUGUGGCUCCUGUGGCAAACAUGUACAGUUUUUGGCAGAAGUUGAACACAACAGCAUUCCAUUAGGAGGGUCAGGAACUCACGCUUGGGACCACCAGUGUCCACUCCAUCCUCAGUUUGUCCCUCAUCAUCAGUAAACUUAACCUGCAUCUGAUGAGAGGGGUCGAAUGAGGCCCCUUUGAAGCCGCGGAUUGCUCCAUCCCACACAUUGGCUCUAUUAAUAUUGAACCUGCUGCAAGAGUUUGCUCCGUUUCCUCUUCUGGCUCAGACUGGCUGUCAAUAAUGAUAAGUGCAUACACAGUUGUGUAGUUGCUGCAGUGAGAAGACAGUUGAAUAAUGACUUUCAAAUACAUAAUAUAUGCAUGACAGUCAUAUUUGCAAAAGGAUGUCGAUCCUCUUCCUGUUUUUUUUUAAUACAUUGGGUUCUAAACUGACAACAGCACUUUGUCAUACUCCUGCACAAUCCUUGUAAACAUUUGAAAUGGAUGCAACAAACAAUAUCUGACCUUUGACAAAUAUUUGUGGGUGUUUUUUGUAUCGUCUUCACUAAGAUGUUGUGGGUGUCCUUUGGAAAUGUAUGAAAGUAUAAUUGUUCUGCUUCCUGGCAAUAUUACCCACUGUGAUUGGAGGCUAUGCAAACAACCAAAUGUACAAAUAAAAAUACACACCAAACAACUGUGUCACGAUGCAACUGUCAACAUCGUUUACCUAUAGAAGGUGUUCUGACCCGGGGCAGACUGGACCUCUUCCUGGAAUGGGGUUGGUUCUCCAUCCUACUUUUACCCAAUAAAUAAUGAUGCAGUUGAUCUAAUGACAGUGUCAUUAGCACACAAAGGUAUUUAUUGAUUUCAUGUUCACAAAUUCAAACCUACAUGGUAUAAUUACAUUUGUAAUUAGUCUUACCCGAUCAGACGCUGGUUGUGGGUGCCU